RNAcentral lists this long non-coding RNA (203 nucleotides) under Elaeis guineensis (African oil palm). RNAcentral's name for it is "long non-coding RNA (EGUI_LNC038366)". The record is from RNAcentral. Lineage: Eukaryota; Viridiplantae; Streptophyta; Magnoliopsida; Arecales; Arecaceae.
CCACACGCUACAUAGGAUUUUUUUAGAGAUUUUUAGGCAUCUAAAGUUUGGGCCCGAUCCAAGGGCCUAAAUGGCUGAGUUAUUAUAUUCUCCCUCUCUUAAAAUAAUUUCAUCCUCAAAAUUAACUUUGCUUGAUCAAUAACUUUAAAAGAACAUCGAUUAUAUCAUCCUCGAGCUUUUCAUAGUCUAUCUUUCAUAGUACU